GGAAUAUUGGACAAUGGGCGCAAGCCUGAUCCAGCAACGCCGCGUGGAGGAUGAAGGUCUUCGGAUUGUAAACUCCUGUCAGGCGGGACGCAAGGUCACGCCCUACUACGUCAUGACUCUGACGGUACCGCCAGAGGAAGCCCCGGCUAACUCCGUGCCAGCAGCCGCGGUAAUACGGAGGGGGCAAGCGUUAUUCGGAAUUAUUGGGCGUAAAGGGCGCGUAGGCGGCCCUGUAAGUCAAAGGUGAAAGCCCUCGGCUCAACCGAGGAACUGCCUUUGAUACUGCAAGGCUCGAGGCCGGGAGAGGGUGGUGGAAUUCCCAGUGUAGCGGUGAAAUGCGUAGAUACUGGGAGGAACACCCGUGGCGAAGGCGGCCACCUGGACUGGAUCUGACGCUGAGGCGCGAAAGCGUGGGGAGCAAAC
Molecule: ribosomal RNA, 423 nt
Filed under: uncultured bacterium
Lineage: Bacteria
Description: bacterial SSU rRNA
Rfam family: Bacterial small subunit ribosomal RNA
Source: RNAcentral